Molecule: long non-coding RNA, 885 nt
Organism: Cygnus atratus (black swan)
Lineage: Eukaryota; Metazoa; Chordata; Aves; Anseriformes; Anatidae
Exons: 4
Source: RefSeq, a predicted model, not a curated record
UUUCACUUACACUGCACUCGGCGGGGAUCUUAUUGGAAUCCGAGAAUGAUUUUUUUUGCGUGCGAAGAAAGAGUUUCAGCUCUCCAAUACUCGAGUGUAACAUCCUGCUCCCCUUGUCUCUUUUGCAGGUAGAUGGUCUAAAAGCAGACCCAAGGAGACACGAGGUCCCGAUUAGGCAUACCUAAAAGCAUUUUUUCAAGUUUUAAUAUCUGUACUUCUGAGGUAUUGUAUUUCAUCUUGCUCAGAUUUGAAAUGGCUUCCCCAGGCUUGUCAGCGGGAAAAGGGGAAUGAGCAUACUCCCCUGGAAGUCUGGAACUGAAGUCUGGUUUUCUUCAGGUUUCAGGUCAGCCUCUGAAGACCCACCCUGGGAAGAGAUGAUUGGUUUUAGGAAAAUACAAAAUUCAAGGGAGAUCCUGAUUACAAGGGAGAAGAUCACAUUUCAGGGGUCUGUUCCUGCUCCUGGACAUCAAGGAGGACAGAAGAGGCAGAACUACUGGAGCAAAAAACACGUCAAUCUUUUCAACAUAAUUUGGAAAGGCAGGGGGAGGGUACAAGAGAGAUCCUAAUCUUAAUAUAUAUUAGGUGCUCACAUACAACGGCAGUGGGUGUGGACAGGAAAGCUCAAUAGCCAGCUAGAUGGUAGAUUAGGCAGCUUGUUUGUCUUGAGAUGGUUAGCUGAAAAAGGGCAGGAGAGAAGCAAGGAGGGGCUGGAGUAGAGCGGUGUGAGGUGAGCAGUGGAAAGAGAAGUUCAAGCAAGGUGCAGAGAAGAAAGACUGAAAAAGGGACCAGGAUGGGGAGGGAGGACAGAAACGGGAUGCAGGAAAAAUAACUAAAUAAAUAGAAAGUAUGUGAAGAUGAAAGCCAUGGGAAUUAACCUGGCUCCUA